Molecule: ribosomal RNA, 254 nt
Filed under: uncultured bacterium
Lineage: Bacteria
Description: partial 16S ribosomal RNA
Rfam family: Bacterial small subunit ribosomal RNA
Source: RNAcentral
UACGUAGGGUGCAAGCGUUGUCCGGAAUUAUUGGGCGUAAAGAGCUCGUAGGCGGUUUGUUGCGUCGGCUGUGAAAUCCCGAGGCUCAACCUCGGGUCUGCAGUCGAUACGAGCAAACUAGAGUGUUGCAGGGGAGACUGGAAUUCCUGGUGUAGCGGUGAAAUGCGCAGAUAUCAGGAGGAACACCGGUGGCGGAGGCGGGUCUCUGGGCAACAACUGACGCUGGAGGAGCGAAAGCGUGGGGAGCGAACAGG